UCAUUUUUUGCUUUUUUAUUAUUAUUUUUUUUUUCUUCAGUUUUUUGUCUUUUUCAUUUUUUCUUUUGUUUUUUUUUUGUUCCUUUUUUAGCUUUAUCGUUUUUUCUCCUUUUUUUUGUUCCUUUUUGCUUCUUUUUUUUAGUUUUUUGUCUUUCAAUUUUUUUUAUGGCUUUUUUGUUUAAUUUUUUAUUUUCAACACUUUUUUUCUAUUUUUUUUCAUUUAUAUAUGUUUUUUAAUAUUACCUUUAUUCACAUCAAUGAUUAUUUUUUCUUACAACUAUAAUUACUUAACCAAAUAAUUAAAAUUACAAAUUUUCGUAAGUAAAAAAUAAAAAUUUUCAAAAAAAUAAGUAAUAAUUUUAAAAUAUUACAUUUCUUCAUAUGCAUAAUUACUUUUUAUUAAGACAAUAGUUACUUUUAAUAAAUAUAAAACAUACAUUUGUU
Molecule: long non-coding RNA, 444 nt
Filed under: Salvia miltiorrhiza (redroot sage)
Lineage: Eukaryota; Viridiplantae; Streptophyta; Magnoliopsida; Lamiales; Lamiaceae
Description: long non-coding RNA (SMIL_LNC011104)
Source: RNAcentral